ACUCACACACAUAGACACACAUACGGACCCGCACACAGAUCCGGGUGGGGGGGGCGGGGUGGGGGAGCGGCAGCGCGAGACAGCGCGAGCCUCCGAGAAAGCGCGAGACACGCCGGCGCGUGCAGCUCCGCGGCGGCCGCUGCGCCCCGGCUCCAGCCCCGCGAGCGCCCGGCCCGGGUAUUUAUGCGGCGGCCGCGUCCGCCGGCUGCGGCUUCCUCCGGGCCCCCCCCUCCUCCCCCGGGGCGCGCACCACCGCCCCCCUGCACGCGCACACACACACACACACACACACACACACACACACUCGCGGCAGCAGCUGCCGGGACUCGCUCGUGGGUGUGUGUGGUUUGGGGGCUCCUGCCUCGGCGCGGCGGGUGCCACCUCCCGGGACGCUGGCCAGGCGUCCCAGGUCGCGGGCUAUUCUAAUGUGAUGCUGGGAUUGAGUUUACCUUGGACUCCACAUCAAGGUUGACUCGAAAGUCUUGUAGAAGAUCUGGACGAAAUACGUAAGUGGCCUUCUGGUAAUAAUUCUCUUUGGUCCAUUGUGCUUAUGUCUGUUUUUCUAGUGUUUAUUUUAUUCUUUAUUUUUUUUUUAAUUUUAUUCUUUAAUUUUUUGAUUGCGUAUCUAUGUCCAAAUAUUAAAAAUGUUAUCAGUGAACCCCAGACACUUGUCAAGUAUGACUAUAGGAAUAUGUACCACCGUCUCUUCUCUCCUUUUCCAUUUCAAUCUUGCCGUGCUUUCCCUUCUUAUUAAACUUGGUUUUACUUUUUAUUUUGAAAAUUAUUACAAAUUUAUGUAGAAGAUGAAUUUGGUUUUGAAAUAUUGAAAGGAAAUGAUUAGGCAAGAAAAACAUAUGGAUUAUUUUUGGUUAUCAUGUGGUCUUUUUUUAUACUGAUGUUUUCAGUAUUUUUUUUAUUAAGAUUGAGUUGAUAUUGAGGUUUUUGGAGGAUCUAGAAAUGCCAAAAAAUGAAGAGAAUAACAUGCUAGUAAUGAUUUUUUUUGGAAAUGAAUUUUUCUUAUAAACUCUUCGAGAGUCAACAAGUCAGCUAUUUAGAAAGCAUUUUUUGAAAUGUUGUAAUUCUUUAAGUCAAAUGGGACUUUUCCUGGAUAUUUACAGUGUCAAUUUAGAGAACUUUAAGUCCAUUAUUUGAUAUAAAACAAGGGCCACAGAUACGGCAUAAGAUGCUUUUCCAAAAGAAUUAGAUUUAUUUCCCACUUUAUUCAGUAUAUGUUUCUGUAAAAUUAUUUUUUCAGUGUCACUGCUGAACUAUGGUAUCAAUCAAGCAGUAUGUUAUAGGUGGCCAUAUCUGUAAACAAUGUUAUUAUAAAAAGAAAAA
This 1338-nucleotide long non-coding RNA is filed under the name Canis lupus familiaris (dog). Its description in RNAcentral is "lncRNA (ENSCAFG00000057960.1)". The record is from RNAcentral. Lineage: Eukaryota; Metazoa; Chordata; Mammalia; Carnivora; Canidae.